RNAcentral lists this ribosomal RNA (440 nucleotides) under uncultured bacterium. RNAcentral describes it as "partial 16S ribosomal RNA". It matches the Rfam family "Bacterial small subunit ribosomal RNA", at positions 338 to 795 of the family's 1533-position model. The record is from RNAcentral.
CCUACGGGAGGCAGCAGUGGGGAAUAUUGCACAAUGGGGGAAACCCUGAUGCAGCGACGCCGCGUGAAGGAAGAAGUAUUUCGGUAUGUAAACUUCUAUCAGCAGGGAAGAAAAUGACGGUACCUGACUAAGAAUCCCCGGCUAACUACGUGCCAGCAGCCGCGGUCAUACGUAGGGGGCAAGCGUUAUCCGGAUUUACUGGGUGUAAAGGGGGCGUAGGCGGUUUAGCAAGUCAGAAGUGAAAGCCCGGGGCUCAACUCCGGGACUGCUUUUGAAACUGUUGAACUAGAUUGCAGGAGAGGUAAGUGGAAUUCCUAGUGUAGCGGUGAAAUGCGUAGAUAUGAGGAGGAACACCAGUGGCGAAGGCGGCUUACUGGACUGUAAAUGACGCUGAGGCUCGAAAGCGUGGGGAGCAAACAGGAUUAGAUACCCGUGUAGUC